This 254-nucleotide long non-coding RNA is filed under the name Anser brachyrhynchus (Pink-footed goose). RNAcentral describes it as "lncRNA (ENSABRG00000005121.1)". The record is from RNAcentral. Lineage: Eukaryota; Metazoa; Chordata; Aves; Anseriformes; Anatidae.
UGUCUUAGGUGUUGGUGUGGAGACUGGGGGCUGAAGGUUACAGAAAGUUUGGACGUUUCUUCUUGGCUGUUUCUGAAGAUGGAGGCGGGGGCUGCUUUAAGGAUGCAAGCUGAUUAGAGAGCUCAGCCCAGCAGGGUACCACGAGAGGCAGCACAGAGCGAAGAGGCUGCUGUGUGUGUGCAGGGAGUGCUGCCCCCAGCAGCUAGCCUCCCCCAGCCCAGGCAGUGUUGUCCCCUGCACCCCACGCCCUGUGG